Molecule: long non-coding RNA, 248 nt
Filed under: Vitis vinifera (wine grape)
Lineage: Eukaryota; Viridiplantae; Streptophyta; Magnoliopsida; Vitales; Vitaceae
Description: long non-coding RNA (VVIN_LNC007629)
Source: RNAcentral
AAUAUCUUAAAUCGAUUCAGUUUUAGGUAGAUAUCAUUACCUCUUUUGAACCUUACUUUUAUCACUAGUUCAAUCCAACUGCACCUCAUUCCUUCAUGGUAUGCCUCGUUAGUUUGUGUUGUAGAAUUGCUCUGUCUCUUCCACCAGCGCUCAGCAUCGGUAACACGGAAGUCAUCACUUUAUCAUGAAGUCACAUAUGCAUCUUCAGUACUUGCUUCUACUCCUUAUGCUCCCACUUUGCAGCUCCA